This 253-nucleotide ribosomal RNA is filed under the name uncultured bacterium. RNAcentral's name for it is "partial 16S ribosomal RNA". It matches the Rfam family "Bacterial small subunit ribosomal RNA", at positions 524 to 776 of the family's 1533-position model. The record is from RNAcentral.
UACGUAGGGGGCAAGCGUUGUCCGGAUUUAUUGGGCGUAAAGAGCGUGUAGGCGGCUUUGCAAGUCCGUUGUGAAAACUCGAGGCUCAACCUCGAGACGCCGGUGGAAACUGCAAAGCUAGAGUCCGGAAGAGGAGAGUGGGAUUCCUGGUGUAGCGGUGAAAUGCGCAGAUAUCAGGAAGAACACCCGUGGCGAAGGCGGCUCUCUGGGACGGUACUGACGCUGAGACGCGAAAGCGUGGGGAGCGAACAGG